UCCGAGUUGACCCCGGCAGUCUCCUGCGAGUCCCCGCCAUUACGCGCUGGCAACACAGGACAAGGGUUGCGCUCGUUGCGGGACUUAACCCAACACCUCACGGCACGAGCUGACGACAGCCAUGCAGCACCUGUGUUCCAGCCAGCCGAACUGAAGACCCUAAUCUCUUAAGGUCAUACUGGACAUGUCAAGGGUUGGUAAGGUUCUGCGCGUUGCUUCGAAUUGAACCACAUGCUCCACCGCUUGUGCGGGCCCCCGUCAAUUCUUUUAAGUUUUAGCCUUGCGACCAUACUCCCCAGGCGAAUCACUUAACGCGUUAGCUACGACACUGAUCCAGCUAAGCCGAACCAACAUCUAGUGAUUAUCGUUUACGGCGUGGACUAC
RNAcentral lists this unclassified non-coding RNA (384 nucleotides) under uncultured bacterium. RNAcentral describes it as "contains 16S-23S intergenic spacer region". The record is from RNAcentral.